UACCGAGUGCGGGCCCUCUGGGUCCAACCUCCCAUCCGUGUCUAUCUGUACCCUGUUGCUUCGGCGUGGCCACGGCCCGCCGAAGACUAACAUUUGAACACUGUCUGAAGUUUGCAGUCUGAGUUUUUAGUUAAACAAUAAUUAAAACUUUCAACAACGGAUCUCUUGGUUCCGGCAUCGAUGAAGAACGCAGCGAAAUGCGAUAAUUAAUGUGAAUUGCAGAAUUCAGUGAAUCAUCGAGUCUUUGAACGCACAUUGCGCCCCCUGGUAUUCCGGGGGGCAUGCCUGUCCGAGCGUCAUUGCUGCCCUCAAGCACGGCUUGUGUGUUGGGCUUCCGUCCCUGGUAACGGGGACGGGCCCAAAAGGCAGUGGCGGCACCAUGUCUGGUCCUCGAGCGUAUGGGGCUUUGUCACCCGCUCCCGUAGGUCCAGCUGGCAGCUAGCCUCGCAACCAAUCUUUUUUACCAGGUUGACCUCGGAUCAGGUAGGGAUACCCGCUGAACUUAAGCAUAUCAAUAAGCGGAGGAAAAGAAACCAACAGGGAUUGCCUCAGUAACGGCGAGUGAAGCGGCAAGAGCUCAAAUUUGAAAUCUGGCCCCUCCGGGGUCCGAGUUGUAAUUUGUAGAGGAUGCUUCGGGUGCGGCCCCCGUCUAAGUGCUCUGGAACGGGCCAUCGGAGAGGGUGAAAAUCCCGUCUGGGAUGGGGUGUCCGCGUCCAUGUGAAGCUCCUUCGACGAGUCGAGUUGUUUGGGAAUGCAGCUCUAAAUGGGUGGUAAAUUUCAUCUAAAGCUAAAUACUGGCCGGAGACCGAUAGCGCACAAGUAGAGUGAUCGAAAGAUGAAAAGCACUUUGAAAAGAGAGUUAAACAGCACGUGAAAUUGUUGAAAGGGAAGCGCUUGCGACCAGACUCGCUUCCGGGGUUCAGCCGGCUUUCGGGCCGGUGUACUUCCCCGGGGGCGGGCCAGCGUCGGUUUGGGCGGCCGGUCAAAGGCCCCUGGAAUGUAACGCCCCUCGGGGCGCCUUAUAGCCAGGGGUGUCAUGCGGCCAGCCUGGACCGAGGAACGCGCU
RNAcentral lists this small RNA (1066 nucleotides) under Aspergillus cumulatus. RNAcentral's name for it is "eukaryotic LSU rRNA". The stretch from base 470 to 1066 matches the Rfam family "Eukaryotic large subunit ribosomal RNA", at positions 1 to 601 of the family's 3401-position model. The record is from RNAcentral. Lineage: Eukaryota; Fungi; Ascomycota; Eurotiomycetes; Eurotiales; Aspergillaceae.